This 200-nucleotide ribosomal RNA is filed under the name uncultured bacterium. Its description in RNAcentral is "partial 16S ribosomal RNA". It matches the Rfam family "Bacterial small subunit ribosomal RNA", at positions 8 to 208 of the family's 1533-position model. The record is from RNAcentral.
AGAGUUUGAUCCUGGCUCAGGACGAACGCUGGCGGCGUGCCUAAUACAUGCAAGUCGAGCGGACUUGUUCCUUCGGGGACAGGUUAGCGGCGGACGGGUGAGUAACACGUAGGCAACCUGCCUUUGAGACUGGGAUAACUAUCGGAAACGAUAGCUAAGACCGGAUAGCUGGUUUUCUCGCAUGAGAGAAUCAUGAAACA